GUGUGUGUGUGUGUGUGUGUGUAUCAGAAGGCUAAAUGUUAUGGCUUUUUUUCUCGCUUGUAUACAAGUAUAUGCCUCUCCUAGGCUGCACUUUUACUUGGCAGCUUCCUAUCAAAUUCUCUCUAGUAGCUGUUGUAAAAUUAACUACCUUCUUAAUCCUUGUUGCUUUUUUCUUUAACAAUUGCAUAUAUUACAAGCACAAAUUGUCAUAGUGUUUUGAAUACAGAAAUAGCAAAUGGUGUGUGUUUGGAUGAUAUAGUACUUUUCCCCCAUUUUUUCCCUUAAGUUUCUGAAAAUAGAAAUGCUACAAAUAUAAUCAGAUUGGUUAAUUAUGCCAUGUAUCAAGGGUCUUAGCCAUGUUAAUUUUGAGUUUUUUAAGCUGUUAAGGAGUUGCUUGUGUUUGGCACCUUUGUAAGAAUGUUAGCUCUGUUUUUUUGCUGCUUUUAUUUAUCAGAAGGUAAAGAUUUAUGCCCAAGCUGUUUUUAGGUGAGUUAUUAAUUCCCCUUAACCUUUCUUUUUCAUAAAAAUUUUGGAGCUGAUGCAUCUUCAUAUGAAUUUUUUUUAAUUAAUUAUUUAGAUAGACAGACAGUUUUCUACUCGUGGAGAGAAAUUUCUAACUCUUUU
RNAcentral lists this unclassified non-coding RNA (624 nucleotides) under Hevea brasiliensis (rubber tree). Lineage: Eukaryota; Viridiplantae; Streptophyta; Magnoliopsida; Malpighiales; Euphorbiaceae. The record is from RNAcentral.